AACGAACGCUGGCAGCGUGGAUUAGGCAUGCAAGUCGAACGAGAAUUCGUGGAUUCAAGCCGCAAGGUGAGAAUUUGCGGAGGAAAGUGGCGAAAGGGUGAGUAACACGUGGGUAAUUUGCCUUUAAGUUGAGUACAACCCGCCGAAAGGCAGGUUAAUACUGAAUGUGAUCGCCCGCCGCAUGGCGGAUUGUUUAAAGCCGGAGACCCGCAAGGGCCUGGCGCUUGAAGAGAAACCCGCGUCCUAUCAGCUUGUUGGUGAGGUAACGGCCCACCAAGGCUAUGACGGGUAGCUGGUCUGAGAGGAUGGUCAGCCACAUUGGGACUGAGACACUGCCCAGACUCCUACGGGAGGCUGCAGUCGAGGAUCAUUUGCAAUGGGCGCAAGCCUGACAAUGCGACGCUGCGUGGAGGAUGACGGCCUUCGGGUUGUAAACUCCUGUCGUCCGGGAACAAUAUCGGGCGGGUUAAUAACCCGGCCGGUUGAUGGUACCGGAAGAGGAAGUCACGGCUAACUCUGUGCCAGCCGCCGCGGUAAUACA
RNAcentral lists this ribosomal RNA (541 nucleotides) under uncultured bacterium. RNAcentral's name for it is "bacterial SSU rRNA". It matches the Rfam family "Bacterial small subunit ribosomal RNA", at positions 29 to 527 of the family's 1533-position model. The record is from RNAcentral.